UAAUCCUACGGGACGCAGCAGUGAGGAAUAUUGGUCAAUGGGCGCAAGCCUGAUGCAGCGACGCCGCGUGCGGGAUGGAGGCCUUCGGGUUGUAAACCGCUUUUGUUCAAGGGCAAGGCACGGUCUUUGGCCGUGUUGAGUGGAUUGUUCGAAUAAGCACCGGCUAACUACGUGCCAGCAGCCGCGGUAAUACGUAGGGUGCAAGCGUUAUCCGGAUUUAUUGGGCGUAAAGGGCUCGUAGGCGUUUCGUCGCGUCCG
Molecule: ribosomal RNA, 258 nt
Filed under: uncultured bacterium
Lineage: Bacteria
Description: partial 16S ribosomal RNA
Rfam family: Bacterial small subunit ribosomal RNA
Source: RNAcentral